RNAcentral lists this ribosomal RNA (301 nucleotides) under uncultured bacterium. RNAcentral's name for it is "partial 16S ribosomal RNA". It matches the Rfam family "Bacterial small subunit ribosomal RNA", at positions 509 to 807 of the family's 1533-position model. The record is from RNAcentral.
CAGCAGCCGCGGUAAUACGAAGGUCCCGAGCGUUGUUCGGAAUCACUGGGCGUAAAGGGAGCGUAGGCGGCGUGGUAAGUCAGAUGUGAAAUCCCGGGGCUCAACCCCGGAACUGCAUCCGAUACUGCCAUGCUAGAGGAUUGGAGAGGUAGCUGGAAUUCUUGGUGUAGCAGUGAAAUGCGUGGAGAUCAAGAGGAACACUCGUGGCGAAAGCGAGCUACUGGACAAUAACUGACGCUGAGGCUCGAAGGCCAGGGUAGCGAAAGGGAUUAGAUACCCCUGUAGUCCCUGUCUCUUAUAC